Molecule: ribosomal RNA, 253 nt
Filed under: uncultured bacterium
Lineage: Bacteria
Description: partial 16S ribosomal RNA
Rfam family: Bacterial small subunit ribosomal RNA
Source: RNAcentral
UACGAAGGGGGCUAGCGUUGCUCGGAAUUACUGGGCGUAAAGCGCGCGUAGGCGGAUCUGCAAGUCGGGGGUGAAAUCCCGAGGCUCAACCUCGGAACUGCCUUCGAUACUGCGGGUCUCGAGUCCGGGAGAGGUGAGUGGAAUUCCUAGUGUAGAGGUGAAAUUCGUAGAUAUUAGGAAGAACACCAGUGGCGAAGGCGGCUCACUGGCCCGGUACUGACGCUGAGGCGCGAAAGCGUGGGGAGCAAACAGG